This 433-nucleotide ribosomal RNA is filed under the name uncultured bacterium. RNAcentral's name for it is "partial 16S ribosomal RNA". It matches the Rfam family "Bacterial small subunit ribosomal RNA", at positions 29 to 507 of the family's 1533-position model. The record is from RNAcentral.
AGCGAACGCUGGCGGCAGGCUUAACACAUGCAAGUCGAGCGGGCACUUCGGUGUCAGCGGCAGACGGGUGCGUAACACGUGGGAACGUACCCUUUGGUUCGGAAUAACGCUGGGAAACUAGCGCUAAUACCGGAUACGCCCUUUUGGGGAAAGGCUUGCUGCCGAAGGAUCGGCCCGCGUCUGAUUAGCUAGUUGGUGGGGUAAUGGCCUACCAAGGCGACGAUCAGUAGCUGGUCUGAGAGGAUGAUCAGCCACACUGGGACUGAGACACGGCCCAGACUCCUACGGGAGGCAGCAGUGGAGAAUAUUGGACAAUGGGCGCAAGCCUGAUCCAGCCAUGCCGCGUGAGUGAUGAAGGCCUUAGGGUUGUAAAGCUCUUUUGUCCGGGACGAUAAUGACGGUACCGGAAGAAUAAGCCCCGGCUAACUUCGUG